Molecule: long non-coding RNA, 384 nt
Organism: Gossypium arboreum
Lineage: Eukaryota; Viridiplantae; Streptophyta; Magnoliopsida; Malvales; Malvaceae
Exons: 2
Source: RefSeq, a predicted model, not a curated record
AAUUGAAAUGGAUGCUAAUGAAGGAAUGAUUUUAUAAUUAUAGAUCAAGAAAACGAACUAAAUCGUGGAAAGGAGAAAAUUCAAGAAUAGUCCUUGAAUUUCUACGACUUUUACAAAUUAGUCCAGAUUGACUUGAAGUGAAGUGGGUAGAUCGGAUCAACACAACAGGGCACACUAUUCAGAUCAAUUCCGGUAGUUUUUGUUUUAUGUUUAAAGAUUUAUAUGGCAUGUAUAGAGUUUGAAUGAAUUGAAGUAAAGAUGUUAUAAACUAGUUAACAAUAUUUGUACUAAAACAGUUUUCGGUAAGUAGCAGUAGUUUGACUUUGAAAAAUCACUAAAAAUAGUAGAAAUGGAAUUAAAUAAUGAAUAAAUUAUGGAAUCGAA